UACGUAGGGGGCAAGCGUUGUCCGGAUUUAUUGGGCGUAAAGAGCGUGUAGGCGGCCUGGCAGGUCUGCUGUGAAAACUCGAGGCUCAACCUCGAGAUGUCGGCGGAAACCGUCUGGCUAGAGUCCGGAAGAGGAGAGUGGAAUUCCUGGUGUAGCGGUGAAAUGCGCAGAUAUCAGGAGGAACACCGGUGGCGAAGGCGGUUCUCUGGGCAUUACCUGACGCUGAGGAGCGAAAGUGUGGGGAGCGAACAGG
This 253-nucleotide ribosomal RNA is filed under the name uncultured bacterium. RNAcentral describes it as "partial 16S ribosomal RNA". It matches the Rfam family "Bacterial small subunit ribosomal RNA", at positions 524 to 776 of the family's 1533-position model. The record is from RNAcentral.